GUUUUAUGGAAAAGACGUGACGGUGGAGUUUGGUUCAUGCAGCGUCAUGGCGGCGAGUACUGGUUGCGGGCGUGGAAGCUGCGCAGGUGUGGGUGUGGUCCAGGCAUUUCUCUCAGGUGUCGCCUUAGGGAGUACUCUCUCUCUCUCUCUCUCUCUCUCUCUCUCUCUCUCUCUCUCUCUCUCUCUCUCUCUGGAUGUGAAGAUACAGAAGUGAAGCGUCUGGAAUUGCCUGGCAGUGAAAUUGGAUUAUCUUUUACAUUUACUCGUGUUGGUUUCAAUGCACUUUACGUUUAUCCUCAAGGGUUCAGACUGUCUUACUGACUCUAUGUAGGAUCGAAGUCUAUCUGGAGUGAAGGAAUGUGUUCUGCGCUCAGUGGAUGUUAUGCUAAUAUGACGGUUCUCUUUCCAAGUUCGUUCCUUGUGCCUUACUGGUCUGUUUAUUCCGUGUUUUUUUGUUCUGCUUUCCGGUACUGGUGUCGCGGUCUUGCCUUCACUGUUUACGAGGUACGAGGGUUCACUUAGUGGUUCGUUUUGGGCGUGUACAGCGGUUCGGACCCUUUGUUUGUGAUGUCGGCGGGUUCGUUCCGCAAAGUUUACUACCGAUGAUGUUAGUUUUUAGUUCGCUGGAAGGAGAGUUGCUCUGUAAUUUGAACCUUACCGGCUUUUGCUAACGCUGCAUUUUGCCGUCACAGGUCGGGAGGUUCACGGGGCAGCGAGACGAACCGCCGAGACGAAGCAGCAUCGCCACGGGUUCGCCUGACGGAGCCGGGACGCUUGCUGAGGACCAGUCGCAGGUCCGCACCGCUCCCGAUAAGCUUUCGAGACGAGCUUUUCCACCUGCAUCGUGGUGGCGGUAGUGGUGGUGGCGGUGGUGAGCUGCGGUACUGGUGUCUCCCCUCUGGAACGAAAAGGCUGCUAUCUUCAUGAGCAUCCUCCUCCCCUCCCGCCUCGUCGUGCUCCUCUCUUAUCACGUCCCCGUGGGGUGAGCGGCGGGGUGCAGGGUACAGUACAGGGUGUCGCGGUCCUUCCACCCGAGGCACCUUCCUCCAACCCGUUCCUUGUCUCCCUUACGACACAAAAACUCGCGCCCUCCGAUUGGUGUGCCUGGCGCUUGGGGGAGACUGCUGAUGCUGCUGCUGCUAUCCACCGGUCGAACCAAGGAUUUCUCACUGAGGAAGAUCCAUUAACCUUUCCCUGGGGCGAUGGCUGGCUGUGGCUGGGAGGCGGACGGUUUCUCUGCGAUACCAGUGUCUCUCCUGAAGUGUGUGUUCAUCGCCUCGCCAGGUUGACUGUGGUUCUGUAGAGAGAUUUCCACAUCGGUUUUAUAGGUUGAUUAUAUGGCUGAAAAUGUCGAAUCGUGGACUAUACAGGUGGAAUGGAAGGAUUAAUAAAAAUUCCAGGUGGCAAGGAACUUAUUUUUUUUGCUUGAUUUACUACUUGAUUUUCUUUUACUACAUUAUCUUAUCUGUCUUGCAGAUAAAUUUUGCUAGUCCACCCGUUCGAGAUGAGUUUUCUUUCCUUCCCGACCUGACUCAUUUUCUGUUCCAGGAUGAGUCCAGAGACUGCGAAACAUUUGCAGCUUAAGUUGCCAAUGUUUCUUUUAGUCUCCCACUCACCUUGAACAGAGAAAAUGGGUCAGGUCGGGAGAGAGAACCACCUCGAAUGGGAGGACUUGCGUAAUUUAUCUGCAUUGAUCUCGGCUUCUCUCUAUCAAGUUCUGAGAUAAGAACUCUCUCCGAGUAGCAGCUUUUGUAAAAAUCGUACGUUAGUUAAAUUUUGAUACUGCAAAUAACUCCUACUAAUUUAUACUUGCUAUGUUGAGUUCAGAUGGAUCUCCGGCGGCUGGAGGCGCUUCGUUUCCCCAUCACCUGCAGCAGAGAGGACCUGUGGAUGGGGUAGAAGGCUUAAACAGUAGUAGUCUCACUUGCCUUGUUAGCAUAAAAAUAAUGUCAUCAUUUCAGAAUAAAUACAUGCAUUAUAAUUA
Molecule: long non-coding RNA, 1984 nt
Organism: Scylla paramamosain (green mud crab)
Lineage: Eukaryota; Metazoa; Arthropoda; Malacostraca; Decapoda; Portunidae
Exons: 5
Source: RefSeq, a predicted model, not a curated record